RNAcentral lists this ribosomal RNA (500 nucleotides) under uncultured bacterium. RNAcentral describes it as "bacterial SSU rRNA". It matches the Rfam family "Bacterial small subunit ribosomal RNA", at positions 28 to 532 of the family's 1533-position model. The record is from RNAcentral.
GACGAACGCUGGCGGCGUGCUUAACACAUGCAAGUCGAACGGACGAGUGAGAUAAGUUUACUUAACUCACAAGUUAGUGGCGGACGGGUGAGUAACACGUGGAUAAUCUACCUGCAACACCGGGAUAACGCUGUGAAAACGGUGCUAAUACCGGAUACGUUCCCUUGUGCGCAUGUAUGAGGGAAGAAAGCUCAGGCGGUUGCAGAUGAGUCCGCGGCUGAUUAGCUAGUUGGUGAGGUAAAGGCUCACCAAGGCGAUGAUCAGUAGCCGGCCUGAGAGGGUGAACGGCCACACUGGGACUGAGACACGGCCCAGACUCCUACGGGAGGCAGCAGUGGGGAAUCUUCCGCAAUGGGCGCAAGCCUGACGGAGCAACGCCGCGUGGGUGAAGAAGGCCUCGGUUGUAAGCCUGUCUUAUGGAAGAAGUCAGUGACGGUACCACGUAGGAGGAAGGCCGACGGCGUAACUAACGUGGCCAGCAGCCGCGGUAAAAGGUCACG